This 253-nucleotide ribosomal RNA is filed under the name uncultured bacterium. Its description in RNAcentral is "partial 16S ribosomal RNA". It matches the Rfam family "Bacterial small subunit ribosomal RNA", at positions 524 to 776 of the family's 1533-position model. The record is from RNAcentral.
UACGUAGGGCGCAAGCGUUGUCCGGAAUUAUUGGGCGGAAAGAGCUCGUAGGCGGCCUGUUGCGUCCGCUGUGAAAUCCCGGGGCUCAACCCCGGGCCUGCAGUGGAUACGGGCUGGCUAGAGGCAGGCAGGGGAGAACGGGAUUCCUGGUGUAGCGGUGAAAUGCGCAGAUAUCAGGAGGAACACCGGUGGCGAAGGCGGUUCUCUGGGCCUGUACUGACGCUGAGGAGCGAAAGCGUGGGGAGCGAACAGG